AAUUCGUGGAAGACUGGCGGAUCAACUUAAUCCGCACUUGAUUCGCGAGUCUUUCACGGAUC
RNAcentral lists this microRNA precursor (62 nucleotides) under Glycine max (soybean). RNAcentral's name for it is "miR4404 stem-loop (gma-MIR4404)". The record is from miRBase by way of RNAcentral. Lineage: Eukaryota; Viridiplantae; Streptophyta; Magnoliopsida; Fabales; Fabaceae.